AUAAUGAAAAAUAUAAGCCAAUCAUGUGCUCUUCUAAUGGGCUGGACUUGACCUGCAGAUUGCCUUUCACUUGAAGGCUGCUAUAUCUGUGGACACUGCAUGCGCUGCAUGGCAGGAGGACAGAUGCAUGUUACAAUUUCAGAUACAAGCAGUGUCUGAAACUGCCUUUUCACACAUUUGAAUUUAAUCAUGUUAGUUUUUUCAAGGAAAUUUACAUAACUAUAUGCUGUACUUAUACAGAUUGUAUAUUCUUUCUGCAUUUUUAUUUUGGAAACUGACAACAGAAAACCAGAUUGUGCCAUGCUUGUUGAAAUAUUCCAUUUUAAUAUUUACGGUCCAAAAAUAAAUUCAUGUGUAUUUUAACGGUCAUUCUACCCUGCAUUAAGAUAGGACAGAUCCAUUUUCAGAAUGCAUUUUUUUCCAGUAUACAGUCACUGAGUCACUGGUUGCAAAUAUUUGUUCUGGCAGUAUCACAUGAAGGUAGUCAAAAAACACAUCCAUUGCAUGGAAUACUCAUGCACACUGACUUGUCCGUUGCAGUUUGUAAUUGCCAAUUUAUUUCAUAUGUGAGGAAGAAUCAAAAAAUAAAGGCAACUCUCCCUUUAAUACUGGUAACUAUGAGCAGAUAAACAUAAUAGUUAUAUCAGUUUUCCACAUAGUUUUCCCUGCAGGUCAAUGCACUUCUUGUAUCAUUCCCCUAAUUUAUUCAUUACUUGGAAGAAUUAGCUUUUUGGCUGCUGCAAAAUCCAGGUUUUCACCUCUUUCUUUACUUUAUUAUCAUGAAUCUGUGGUCACAGAGAGAAGCAGUUGCAUGGAAACAUGCGUUUUCAUGGAGAAAGAAGUUUUUUACAGCAUUCCUCUUCUUUUGCUGUGAAUUGCAGGUUUCAUUUUUUGUCUAAGCACAGAACAGUACAUUGCACUGAGCAUGAAUUGUCCAUGUUCCUGAUGAUAUACCAGAAUAGGACCUUUCAUGCCCCAAAAGAAGGUCAUCAUGAUUUUCUUGAAAGAGGCCUGUCAUUUCAGUUUCCUCUUUACUGCAGAGACAGGUGUUUCCACUAAAUACCUUGUCACUUACUUUCAAGCUGUCAGUGAUGGAGCCAUGUCUCACCCCUUGUGACAAUCCACUCCAAAAUACUCAGAUGUUCUUUAUACGUUUCAAUAAGUGGGUUGCAGCAUCCAUGUGCUGUUGCUUGUGCAGCUGUUUGGGUACCCAUCUUGCAGAAAAUGUAUUGUACCCAAGUCAUCAUGCACUAUGGCAUGUGCAGUUCCAUAGCUGAUAUCCAAAUGUGCAGCAACAAUGGACAACAUAAUCUGUCAGGCUUCUUGUGGGCCUAUGUGUGCAGUGUUGAUGGCUGACCAGAUUGAGGUUACACUUUUUCUUCCCGCUUUAAACCCUUCUACCCAUUCUUAAAAUUUCGUUCAGUCAUGUUGUUUUCACUUCCACACUAAGCCAACAUCCUUCAGUGAAUUUCAGCAGAUUUCUCUCCCUUUGCCCAAAGAAAUUCCACUAUGGUGCAUUGUACAACAAUGGUGCAAUCCCGCACCGGAGAGUCCAUGUUCAUCUGACCAUGGAUUUAACAAGACUAGCUACCCAUAAGCCAUCGCAGGCAUGUUGCCUUUACUUUUUGAUUUACCCUUGUACAUGCCUUUUCGAUAUGGGAAGAAACAGGCAUAUAGGCAAUGGCAAAGCAAGUGAGUAGAGGCGGCAUUCAUAAUUGUGCUUUCAUUCAUGCACCUUAAUAAAUUCUCAUUGUAGUAAGACAGUAUCUUUCUCUAGGCCAUUUUAUUCUGUUUUAUUCUGGGGGACAUAAAUAGCAUAUUUACAGCAUAAAAGAAAAAAUAUUCACAAAUAAAACUUUAAGUGGUAAUGACUGGUGUAGGAAAGGUUUAAGUUCAUUCCACUAUUUUGGCACCUAAUAAACAAUCGGAUUUCCAGUUAAAAUAUUGAUUAGAAGAAAAUGCAGAGCUACCAAGGCUUGUAAUUAUGACAUUUGAGGCAUACUUACAUUCAUAUUUGAGUUUAUAAGAUGAUGCAAGUUUUGCCAAAUGUCAUACUGUCAUGAUGUUCUGUUACUAAGGCAAUACACCAUAUUAACAACUUCACUGUUGUAUUUGACCUCCAUUAUUAGCCUUUUUUUAUUAUAAAGGAGAAAACCUUAAAAUAAAGCAAAAAUGUACAUACUGUACCCAACAAAAUAUAUCUUUAUAUCAAUAAAAUGAUUUAGACAUUUUUAAGAAUGAGCCAUGCACCUUUUGACCUAUCCUGGUUGCUAGUGGACCAGAAAUAAACUUAAUGGUCUUACCAAUUUGUGAGAAUUCAGAUUGUUGCAUGGUAUUAUUGUAGGCUGCAUUGCUUGCCUCACAACGAUUGAAAUACAUCUUGUGUAGAAUAUGCCAGUUCUCACUCUGUUUAAAUGUAUUUUCUUUGUCAACUCUGGUUGGCUUUUACAGUUUGAGGACCUGAAGUUAGGUUGAUUGGCAAAAUCUAAUUUGUCCCAGAAAAAUUCCCUCCGUGGACUGUGCUCCAGCCUUGGUUCCUUAUUUCAUCCUGAUGCUACCAAGACAUAGUCCAUGUCCCAUGAUCCUCUACUGAGCAAGCAUGUUCAGGAAAUGGAUUGGUGAAAUGCAUUGAAAACUGACAUAAUAUAAUAGAGCCAAUGAAUUUUCUGACCUUUAACUAAAAAUUUCAGAAAGCCAAUAUACAUCACAAUUAAUCAGACUGCUUGUAACAAAAAGUACAAGUAAAGUUAAUACAGUCAGUUGGAAUUUAUUUUUUUCUCCGCUGAAUUUAAGGAACAUCAGAACUGUGCAUUUUUCUUGUUUUACAGAGAAAAUAUCUUUUAAAUUGCUAGAUUUAAUUAUGAUCCAAUUACAUAUGUAAGGCAACAUCAAAAAACUAUUCUGUUGUAUUUGGCCAAGGGCUUGGGAGGUUAUACUAACAAAAUAUAAAAUAUAGGAGUGUUAUUUACUGAAAAAGUAGAAACAAACUUGUCUUCACAAUAUUUUAGCUUGACCCUCAAUAUGCUUAUUUCUGGUAUACAGUAAAACCAUAGCUACAUGCAAGAGCAAGACCUUAAGAUAUGUUUUUUAAUAUAUUUUUGGACCUUACCUAUUAAAUGUGAAACAGAAGAUAAACAGGUUGUUUUAAGUUUUCAUCAUGUAGUCUGUCUCUAACAUUCUAGAAAAUCAAAGGGAUGUAAAAUACAGUAUAAUAUGUCACCCCUUAAAUUAACUGUUGUCUUAGUAACAAGACUAAUAUUUUAUCUUUUGUGUCACAGUGUUAGAUUUAAGGCUUAUUAUUAAUUCACUUCAUCUAACAUUUUGGUACAUUUAACAGUAGAGCAACUUUAAUUAUGUCUAACUAUGUGCCUAAUAGAAAACCAUACAUGCCCAGUUUCACUGAAAUACAGAAAUUAAAUUGGUUUAAAAGAGAGCAACCAAACAAGUCAAGUUCAAGACGUGUCAGAAAUGUAUCAUUUACUUGCAACAAUAAGU
Molecule: long non-coding RNA, 3495 nt
Organism: Erpetoichthys calabaricus (reedfish)
Lineage: Eukaryota; Metazoa; Chordata; Cladistia; Polypteriformes; Polypteridae
Exons: 2
Source: RefSeq, a predicted model, not a curated record